This 490-nucleotide ribosomal RNA is filed under the name uncultured bacterium. RNAcentral's name for it is "partial 16S ribosomal RNA". It matches the Rfam family "Bacterial small subunit ribosomal RNA", at positions 28 to 507 of the family's 1533-position model. The record is from RNAcentral.
GAUGAACGCUAGCUACAGGCUUAACACAUGCAAGUCGCGGGGCAGCAUGGGGGUUGCUUGCAAUCCCCGAUGGCGACCGGCGCACGGGUGAGUAACGCGUAUCCGACCUGCCCUUCGCCACGGGAUAACCCGGCGAAAGUCGGACUAAUACCGUAUGUUGUCCAUUGACGGCAUCCGAUUUGGACGAAAGGCUUGGCGGUGAGGGAUGGGGAUGCGUCCGAUUAGCCAGGCGGCGGGGUAACGGCCCACCGUGGCUACGAUCGGUAGGGGUUCUGAGAGGAAGGUCCCCCACACUGGAACUGAGACACGGUCCAGACUCCUACGGGAGGCAGCAGUGAGGAAUAUUGGUCAAUGGGCGUAAGCCUGAACCAGCCAAGUAGCGUGCAGGAUGACGGCCCUAUGGGUUGUAAACUGCUUUUAUGCGGGGAUAAAGUGGCCCACGUGUGGGCUUUUGCAGGUACCGCAUGAAUAAGGACCGGCUAAUUCCGUG